GACAGAGGGUGCAAACGUUGUUCGGAAUUACUGGGCGUAAAGCGCGUGUAGGCGGCUUGGCAAGUCGGGUGUGAAAGCCCUGGGCUCAACCUAGGAAGUGCACUCGAAACUGCCUCGCUGGAGUGCCGGAGAGGAAAGCGGAAUUCUCGGUGUAGAGGUGAAAUUCGUAGAUAUCGAGAGGAACACCGGUGGCGAAGGCGGCUUUCUGGACGGUUACUGACGCUGAGGCACGAAAGCGUGGGGAGCAAACAGG
This 253-nucleotide ribosomal RNA is filed under the name uncultured bacterium. RNAcentral's name for it is "partial 16S ribosomal RNA". It matches the Rfam family "Bacterial small subunit ribosomal RNA", at positions 524 to 776 of the family's 1533-position model. The record is from RNAcentral.